Molecule: small nuclear RNA, 103 nt
Organism: Oryctolagus cuniculus (rabbit)
Lineage: Eukaryota; Metazoa; Chordata; Mammalia; Lagomorpha; Leporidae
Source: Ensembl
GUGCUUGCUUCGGUAGCAUAUUUACUAAAGUUGGGACAAUACAGAGAUUAGCAAGGCCCCUGUGCAAGGAUGACAUGUAAAUUCUAAAGCAUUCCAUAUUUUU